This 253-nucleotide ribosomal RNA is filed under the name uncultured bacterium. Its description in RNAcentral is "partial 16S ribosomal RNA". It matches the Rfam family "Bacterial small subunit ribosomal RNA", at positions 524 to 776 of the family's 1533-position model. The record is from RNAcentral.
CACGUAGGAUCCGAGCGUUAUCCGAAUUUACUGGGCGUAAAGCGCGUGUAGGCGGUUCGGCAAGUUGGACGUGAAAGCUCCUGGCUCAACUGGGAGAGGUCGUUCAAAACUGCCGGGCUAGAGAGCGACAGAGGGAGGUGGAAUUCCCGGUGUAGUGGUGAAAUGCGUAGAUAUCGGGAGGAGCACCAGUGGCGAAGGCGGCCUCCUGGGUCGUCUCUGACGCUCAGACGCGAAAGCUAGGGGAGCGAACGGG